Syzygium oleosum is the source of this 886-nucleotide long non-coding RNA. RefSeq lists it as uncharacterized. The record is from RefSeq and is a predicted model, not a curated record. The transcript is spliced from 3 exons. Lineage: Eukaryota; Viridiplantae; Streptophyta; Magnoliopsida; Myrtales; Myrtaceae.
AUAUAUAUUGAUUUUGAUGUCAUUGUGUUGAAAUCACUCUCUUCUCUCAACAACACUGUUGGUCUGGAGAGUCAGCUUGAUCGACGGUCUAUCAAUGGUGCUGUAAUGGCAUUCAGAAGGCAUAGCCCCUUCAUAAUGGAGUGCUUGAGGGAGUUCUACUCGGUGUAUGAUGAUACAGUUCAGAUGGAAUGGGACCGAUCUUUUGACAAGAGUGGCAGAAAACUUUUCAAGAAGUGGGAAAAGAGAAGUUGAGCUGCUGGAGUUGAAAGUGCUACCCUUCUUCGUCUUCUUUCCUAUUAGUAGCCAAGAUAUUACGAGAUACUUCGUUACUCCUUCAACGGAAAUUGAACGUGGACAACAAGAUUCUCUUUUCAGAAAAAUUCUGGAUGAAUCCUCAACAUUUCAUUUUUGGAACAGCGUUACUUCUACUCUUGUUCCUGAGCCAGGAAGUCUUGUAACCAGGCUAAUUGACCACAGAUGUAUCCAUUGCUCUGACGUAUUGUGAAAUGCACCCAAUUUUUCCUCAAGUUGAUUGAAGACUUCAGCUAGCACCCUAAUUGGCUCGAAGCAAUCACUGGUCAAAUGCUGAGGAGAUUCAGGUUUAUUGCUCUGACAUGUGGCCCAGUUUUUGGUUAUGAGUAGGGGCCUUACGUAUUCGUCUUAAUGAUAAAGAAAAUUCCAUGAAGAAGGGGGUUUGACCACCUACGGGAACGGCUUCAGAAGAAAGCCGACCAUAUACGGAAUUAUGUUAGGUGGGCAUAUAUGUUGUUGUACAGCUAUUUUCUUUAUUAUCCGUGUUAAGAGUUUUUCCAUUUCUUUUCCUUAUCAGUGCUUGCACAAAUGAAUUAGUGGGAAAUUGGAAACGGUGGUUCACCCCUUUUUACAA